AUUUCUAAACUCCAACAACUUUACCGGGGAGUUGCCUGCAUCAUUUGCAAAUUUGACCACUAUGAAGGAAUUUCGGAUUGGUGGUAACAGUUUCUCUGGAAAGAUCCCUGAUUUCAUAGGGCAGUGGAAAAGUCUCAAGAGCUUAAGGAUUCAGGCCAGUGGGUUGGAUGGGCCAAUACCUCCUACCAUUACUCUUUUGGCAAAUUUGUCAGACUUGAGAAUCAGUGAUUUGGGAGGACCAGACUUUCUUAUUCCGCC
Erigeron canadensis is the source of this 258-nucleotide long non-coding RNA. RefSeq lists it as uncharacterized. The transcript is spliced from 4 exons. The record is from RefSeq and is a predicted model, not a curated record. Lineage: Eukaryota; Viridiplantae; Streptophyta; Magnoliopsida; Asterales; Asteraceae.